UUGGCAAACCUGCUCGUGAUAUGUUUGUAAAAAGUACAUGAAGAAUUGAUAGAACAAAUAAAAGAAGUAAAUCGGCCUCUUUUUAACAGUAUUUAUAACAUUUUAUCUUGUUUCUGCAACAUGUAUAUCUGAAAGACAAUAUUCAAAUCUUGAACAACCUCAACCCACUAAAGUAUCCUUAUACAUAUUUUGGAGUACUUUUCUUAUUCCUGCUGGGGAUUAUUGUCAAAGUGACAUCUAUCAGAACUCAACAACCAUUUGCUCAAUUUGGAAUCUAAAAAACUAUCAAAAUGACCCUUCAGUUCCACCCACUAGUUUUUGGCGUUAUGUUAGUGGUAGCGGCUGGAACUGUAGCUUACACAUUGUGGACGUCGAGUCGUCAGUAUCAGAGAUAUGAAGGUCACCAGAGUACACCCUCGAACUAUUGUGUUGGUUACGACACAAACAAGAGUAAAGAACCCCCAAGAAAAAGAAAGAACAUUGAUCAGUGCUGCAUCUGUUUAGGAAAAUUGGUCGGCGAUUUGAGAAUAUUACCCUGCAAGCAUGAAUUUCAUUCUAAUUGUAUCUCACAGUGGCUUGUUGGCAAUGACACUUGUCCGUUGUGCAGAAAAACCGAACGAUUAUAAAACAAUGCUUUACUUUUAUAAUUAUCAUGAGGGUCAAUAGUUGAUUUCAAUUUAACCAUUGAAUUAUAGGGAUAUAUUUUCUAACUUAGACGUUAAUUAGGGGGAAUAAAUCAGGUAUAGAACUAAAAAAAUGUAGUAACUUCACGAAAUAAUAAAUACCCUAAUUCUUCACAUUGAAAUACGAAUAAUUAACGAGAAAAAUGAGAAAAUAGUAUAUCAAAGCCCUGGUAUAAGAUUGAUUACUGAACUGAACAAUACUUAUAUGACCUAAAGUUUUCACAAAUAUAUUUAAAGUUUGGUUUUGAAACAAAAAGGCUCUCGAUUUUUGGACAUAGUACAAAAUUUUUCACACAUUUAUUAUAUGAGGUUUGACAAUUGAAAUUUUGAUGAAUCUGAUAGUUCGUAUGUAGGACCAACCCUGAGAUUUCACAAGGAUAUUUUAGUGAAGAAGAAAAUGCACUGUUCACUUCAAGGAACACCUUCUACAUAUUGAACCUCAAAGAAAUAUUUUUACAAAUUAAACAUAUGCAAAGAUAUUUUGCAAAAGUGACGUGUACAAUCGAUUAUUCGCUUUUAUGCUGUGUGUUUACUAACUUUGCACACUUAGCGUGUAUUUGUUAUAGCACAUAAAACAUACAAAUGAA
Leptinotarsa decemlineata (Colorado potato beetle) is the source of this 1270-nucleotide long non-coding RNA. Lineage: Eukaryota; Metazoa; Arthropoda; Insecta; Coleoptera; Chrysomelidae. The record is from RefSeq and is a predicted model, not a curated record.